UCAAACUAGUGAGUCAAGUUAUAAACACCAGGGCUAUAUAUAGCUAGUUUGAAAGAAUGGGUUCCCUUGGUAUAGUAUUGAUUAUUACAAUUUGUUUACUAACACUAAUGAGUCUACCGAGUAGGAUAAUGGUUGCAAGCCAGUGUUCAGGCCCGGCGGUGGGUCUCGCAUUUUCACCAUGCUUGGGCUUCCUUGACAAUAAGGAUCCAAAGCCAUUGAAAACAUGUUGUAGUGGACACGAGAAUUUACACAAGAGAGGAAAAACCAAGGAAGAUCGUGUGGCUAUAUGUAAUUGUUUAAAGACGCUCUUGGAGAAUCACGACCGAAGGCGAUUCCUUAAUAUCAGAGAGCAGUGUCACAUUGACAAAUCGAAAGGACUAGGAAUCUCCGAUGUUGGACCAACUGCCGACUGCUCAAAAACACCAUAGGCAUAGAGGGUUUCCAAGCAUCAAGAUGGAUUCAUUAGGACAACAUAUAUAGUAAUAUGGCAUUGUAUUUUAAUCAAUAUUUAUUAUUUACUAUUUUUAUGGUCAUGAGAAAUUUAUAA
Non-coding RNA from Lactuca sativa (garden lettuce), 547 nucleotides. The record is from RefSeq and is a predicted model, not a curated record. NCBI's taxonomy places the organism in Eukaryota, Viridiplantae, Streptophyta, Magnoliopsida, Asterales, Asteraceae.